UACGUAGGGUGCGAGCGUUGUCCGGAAUUAUUGGGCGUAAAGAGCUCGUAGGCGGUGUGUCACGUCGGCCGUGAAAACCUGGGGCUUAACUCUGGGCGUGCGGUCGAUACGGGCAUCACUAGAGUUCGGCAGGGGGAGACUGGAAUUCCUGGUGUAGCGGUGAAAUGCGCAGAUAUCAGGAGGAACACCGGUGGCGAAGGCGGGUCUCUGGGCCGAUGACUGACGCUGAGGAGCGAAAGCAUGGGGAGCGAACAGG
Molecule: ribosomal RNA, 256 nt
Filed under: uncultured bacterium
Lineage: Bacteria
Description: partial 16S ribosomal RNA
Rfam family: Bacterial small subunit ribosomal RNA
Source: RNAcentral